Molecule: ribosomal RNA, 457 nt
Filed under: uncultured bacterium
Lineage: Bacteria
Description: bacterial SSU rRNA
Rfam family: Bacterial small subunit ribosomal RNA
Source: RNAcentral
AACGAACGCUGGCGGCAGGCUUAACACAUGCAAGUCGAACGCUCGUAGCAAUACGGGAGUGGCGGACGGGUGAGUAACGCGUGGGAACGUGCCCUGAGGUACGGAAUAACUGAGGGAAACUUCAGCUAAUACCGUAUGAGCCCCGAGAGGGGGGAAAGAUUUAUCGCCUUGGGAGCGGCCCGCGUCGGAUUAGCUAGUUGGUGGGGUAACGGCCUACCAAGGCUUCGAUCCGUAGCUGGUCUGAGAGGACGAUCAGCCACACUGGGACUGAGACACGGCCCAGACUCCUACGGGAGGCAGCCAGUGGGGAAUCUUGCGCAAUGGGGGGCAACCCUGACGCAGCCAUGCCGCGUGAACGAUGAAGGCCUUAGGGUUGUAAAGUUCUUUUACCCGUGACGAUGAUGACGGUAACGGGGGAAUAAGCUCCGGCUAACUUCGUGCCAGCAGCCGCGGUAAU